RNAcentral lists this long non-coding RNA (538 nucleotides) under Sorghum bicolor (sorghum). RNAcentral's name for it is "long non-coding RNA (SBIC_LNC000346)". Lineage: Eukaryota; Viridiplantae; Streptophyta; Magnoliopsida; Poales; Poaceae. The record is from RNAcentral.
GAAGCUACGACAAAAAAGUAAUAUUUUGCAUAAUUGAAUAAAAUGAGUGAUUAAACUUGGUACCAUAGAAGUCAAACGUCUUGUAAUUUGAAAUGUAUUGAGUAUUUUUAUAUCUAUCCAUCGCUAUAUGUUAUUGUUUAGAAUAAUUACAAAGCUUCAAAACAUAGGCGAUUCGAUCUCAAGCACAUAAUCUAUACCUAUUAAUAAAGAGACAAAAUUUCAGCCUAAAUUUUCGUCUGGACAUAAUUUCGUCUGGCUAUUUAUAAAUAAAAGUCUCCGAAUACACCACGCCAAGGACUCCUUAACAAAACCCAAUAGAACAAAUUGAAUCCAAUAUAAAUCAAGUUAGCUCUGUCCGCCAAUCUUCUGUCUGAGACCUUCAAAAAGGAGAAUCCCUUAGGCGAAAGAAUAGUUCGCACUGUGUGCACCGCGCAGCUGCGUUCUUUCACAAGGCUACCCUGGCCCUCUUUUUAUGCUUCUCCUUCGGACUGCAGCUGAGCUAGAGCAGCGAAGUGGUACUAAAACUGCGAAUGCCCCG